GACGAACGCUGGCGGCGCGCUUAACACAUGCAAGUCGAACGGUAAGGCCCUUUCGGGGUACGCGAGUGGCGAACGGGUGAGUAACACGUGGGUAAUCUGCCCUGCACUCUGGGAUAAGCCUGGGAAACUGGGUCUAAUACCGGAUAUGAGCCUUCAUCGCAUGGUGGGGGUUGGAAAGUUUUUUCGGUGCAGGAUGUGCCCGCGGCCUAUCAGCUUGUUGGUGGGGUAAUGGCCUACCAAGGCGACGACGGGUAGCCGGCCUGAGAGGGUGAUCGGCCACACUGGGACUGAGACACGGCCCAGACUCCUACGGGAGGCAGCAGUGGGGAAUAUUGCACAAUGGGCGGAAGCCUGAUGCAGCGACGCCGCGUGGGGGAUGACGGUCUUCGGAUUGUAAACCCCUUUCAGUAGGGACGAAGCGCAAGUGACGGUACCUGCAGAAGAAGCACCGGCCAACUACGUG
This 463-nucleotide ribosomal RNA is filed under the name uncultured bacterium. Its description in RNAcentral is "bacterial SSU rRNA". It matches the Rfam family "Bacterial small subunit ribosomal RNA", at positions 28 to 507 of the family's 1533-position model. The record is from RNAcentral.